GGUUGUUUGGCCGAGCGGUCUAAGGCGCCUGAUUCAAGUGAAAACUUAACACUUAAAAAGUGGAACUCUCAGGUAUCGUAAGAUGCAAGAGUUCGAAUCUCUUAGCAACCA
The sequence is a transfer RNA, 111 nucleotides long. It matches the Rfam family "tRNA". From Rfam's summary of the family: Transfer RNA (tRNA) molecules are approximately 80 nucleotides in length. Their secondary structure includes four short double-helical elements and three loops (D, anti-codon, and T loops). The record is from Rfam.